This 598-nucleotide ribosomal RNA is filed under the name uncultured bacterium. RNAcentral describes it as "bacterial SSU rRNA". It matches the Rfam family "Bacterial small subunit ribosomal RNA", at positions 338 to 960 of the family's 1533-position model. The record is from RNAcentral.
CCUACGGGAGGCAGCAGUGGGGAAUCUUGCGCAAUGGGCGAAAGCCUGACGCAGCCAUGCCGCGUGUAUGAUGAAGGUCUUAGGAUUGUAAAAUACUUUCACCGGUGAAGAUAAUGACUGUAGCCGGAGAAGAAGCCCCGGCUAACUUCGUGCCAGCAGCCGCGGUAAUACGAAGGGGGCUAGCGUUGCUCGGAAUUACUGGGCGUAAAGGGAGCGUAGGCGGACAUUUAAGUCAGAGGUGAAAUCCCGGAGCUUAACUUCGGAACUGCCUUUGAUACUGGGUGUCUUGAGUGUGAGAGAGGUAUGUGGAACUCCGAGUGUAGAGGUGAAAUUCGUAGAUAUUCGGAAGAACACCAGUGGCGAAGGCGACAUACUGGCUCAUUACUGACGCUGAGGCUCGAAAGCGUGGGGAGCAAACAGGAUUAGAUACCCUGGUAGUCCACGCCGUAAACGAUGAUUGCUAGUUGUCGGGAAGCUUGCUUCUCGGUGACGCAGCUAACGCAUUAAGCAAUCCGCCUGGGGAGUACGGUCGCAAGAUUAAAACUUAAAAGAAGUAGUAGGACGNGAGACGUAGUCGAACGAGACACAGGGAGGAGAG